Molecule: transfer RNA, 76 nt
Filed under: Turicibacter sanguinis
Lineage: Bacteria; Bacillati; Bacillota; Erysipelotrichia; Erysipelotrichales; Turicibacteraceae
Description: tRNA-Phe
Rfam family: tRNA
About the family: Transfer RNA (tRNA) molecules are approximately 80 nucleotides in length.
Source: RNAcentral
GCCCAGAUAGCUCAGUCGGUAGAGCAGGGGACUGAAAAUCCUUGUGUCGGUGGUUCGAUUCCGCCUCUGGGCACCA